UUGCUGAGGAGUCCCAAACAAGACGAAACAGCUGUCCAG
This 39-nucleotide non-coding RNA is filed under the name Echinostoma caproni. The record is from RNAcentral. Lineage: Eukaryota; Metazoa; Platyhelminthes; Trematoda; Plagiorchiida; Echinostomatidae.